GCCACAAACCCUCUGCCAAAGUCUAGAUGCUGAAUGGGUUGAAGAUUUAUUGGACAAAUCCGUGAGGCUUCUAGAUGUUUGUGGCACUACAAGGGAACUUGUCUCAAAAUAUAAAGAAAAUGUAAGACAUCUUCAAUCAUCUCUCAGAAGGAGAAAAGGAGAUUUAACUACAGAUGACAGCGUUACCAGAUUUACCUCUUUCAGCAAGAAGAUCAAGAGGGAUGCCAAAAGAUUAGCCUUGAAUUUGAAACAAAUGGAUCAAGCGGCUGCAGUACCGGUCUUGCUAGAUGCAGAUCAAGAUACAAUAGUUGCAAUUAGAGCACUAAGAGAAGCUAAUGCAGUGUGCAUUUCAACUUUCCAAAUGCUCUUGUCCUUCCUGUGUGUGCCACUUUUGAAGCCAAAACAAUCAAAAUGGUCAGUGCUUUCAAGAUUGGUACACAAAGACAGAAUAGUACCUAAAGUAGAAGAAGAAAACACGAGCUUAGAAACCAGGCUGGAAACCUUCGGGGCCUACCUUGACAGCUUUGAAAAUGCACUGGAAGCUACAUUUAGGUGCUUGAUUAGAUCAAGAAGCUUGCUCCUCAAUGUUCUUUCUUGUUAAUCUGGCAGUUGCUCCAUACUCUGCAAAUUGUACAUAAACAGUUUUGUAGUUAGGAAUAUAUAAACUUCAAGUGAAAGAUUAUAUACCACUUACUGCCUCUCACUCUCUCUGAUCAAAAUUUAAAGGUUUAUGCCUGUGAGUUUCAGCGCAAAGAAAGCACUUAGCAGUAUUUCUCCAUAACUGAUAUCAGUGUCUCAAAAAUGUCAAUAUCCAUUGAAAUGGUCCUCUUUAGACUAGAGGCGGAAAUAGAUAAAACGCAUGGCACAUUCAUUACAUACUUCCUCUGUAUAAUUGGUUUCAAAGAUCAAACUAAUGAAGGGCCAUAAUCUGGAUGAAAAGUUUCUUCCUUAUGCUCCUUAUUCACCAUACUUUAGGCAUCACUGAUAAAUUAGGAAUAUAGCUUAUGAUUUGCUUAUCUUACUUCAUGGUCCAUCUAGAUAUGGAGACCACUGUAACUAUGACAAUCUUGAUAUCAUCUGUCUUCCUUCUGAGACCUAAUCAGGAGGCUUAUCCUAUGUCCUUUUUCUUCUAGAUCCUAAGCCAAAUUCAACAAAGAAAACAAAACGAAGAUCUAGGACAAGGAUCUGGCACCAGAUCAGCGAGCAAAGCAGCCAACAGCAUUCUUUCGAAGAUAUAAAUGGAGCAAUUAACAAUGCCACUUUGCUCGACUCAAUAUCAGUUUUAUAUGAACAAGUAAAGUGGCAUUGCUCAGCAAGCUUAAUUGCACAGCUCCCAAAAAAUCCUCUAGCAGUCCUUGAAAACAACGAUAUGUACGCUCCCCAAAAAUAGAUUUGAAGUGUGGAUAGAAUUACUAUUUUGGAAGGGACAUAGGUGCCUGAUUAUAUUGCAGAGUUCUCUCCUAAAUAUCUUCCCAUGCUAAUCUGAAGUUGGCUAGACAUUUUUCACAUAUAUAAUGUCAUGGCCCGUGGCUAGCUUCUAAAUAUGUAGUGCCACGGACAGGCCCACUAGACUUUGUUUAGCCAACUGACAAGUGUGCCUGUGCCUAUGUCAGAUAUCUUCAAUCCUCUAUCAGAAAGAAAAGGAGAUCACUUAAGUACGUACAGAAGCCAGCUUUACCAGAUCACCUACUUCAGCAAGAAGAUUGGAUAGCCAAAGGUUAUUCCCGCUCUUAACUCUUAAAAAUGGAUGAAGACAUUGAGGAUUAGAAUUCCAAGAUUCAGAUAUGCACGCUACAUAUGUGAUUGGAGUACUAAGGGAAGCCAACCUAGUAUGCAUUUCAAUUUUGCAAAUGCUCUUGCUACUUCCUAUCUGUCCCAGUUAAAGUCAAACUCGUCUAAAUGGCACUGGUUUUGAGAUUGGUGCAUAAGGGAAGAAUAGCAUGUGAAAAGUCGAGCAGAUAACAUUAACUUUGAAACUAGUCUGGAAUCCUUCAAUGGUCACCUUGAGAGUUUUAAGGAUGAAUUAGAAGGAGCAUUUAGGUGCCUGAUUAGAUUGAGGAGCUCUCUCCUGAAUAUAUUCUCCCCAUCUGAUUCAAUCUGCAUUCUUAUGAGUUCCUUCCCCUUCAUACUUAUAACAUCAGAUAUCUCGGAAAGAAUAUGAAACUCAUGGAUUGUACCUUAUAAAAGUUUGUUAGUAAAGAAUGUAAAACUUCCUUCUCUUUGCCCCGGAGGGUGAGUUGUGUAGGAAAAUAACUAUGCAGUCAAUAAUUUAGUAAACAUUACACAAGCUCAGCAUAACCAGCCAUACAUAGAUGCACAAAAUUAAAUAUUUUUAUUUCCAAUACACCCGUGUAUCAAUUAUUGAUUUAAUUAAAAAUUGCUCUUUGAGUGAAGCAUCCUGAAGAAGCCACCUACUGCUGGACUAAUUAAAAGGAUGAAAAUCAUAGACAUACCUUGGGCAUCUUUAACCAAGUCAAGGAGAAGGAGUUCUUAGCUGUAAUCUUCCGGAUGGAGCCAAGGAAAAUAGCAGGAUAUGAAUGUACUGACAUAUAUUAAUUAGUUUUGCCCACCAUUUAUUGGAAGCAUUACAUCUAGUCCAGGAGCUUAUACAGAUAUGCUUCCAACCCCUUGCCAACCAAAUCCAAAAGAAAUACUCCCAUACGUGUACAACUCCAUAAGAUAAACUUCGGUCGUGCAUGUUGAAUUUUAUAUUUGAUCUACUAGCCCCUCUGAGAUCUUGACACCUUAAAAUAUUCCCAUUAUUCUGUCAUUAUUUACAUUUCAAUUAUCUAAAUAUAUAAUAUUCUAGUAGUUGAUGGAUUUAAGCCUUUAUGAGGAGACAGACUUACCUGGCCACCUAUUACAUGACAGAGACUAACUAAACAACUGAACAAAUAAAGUAGGCUUCUUGAAGUUGAUGCAUCUUCAAUCAAAUAAUAUCAAUAGAAAAGUUUUUUGUCAUAGUAUUGGCACCAUUUCUGGAGACAGAGAGGCAAAUCAUGCAAAAACUUAUGAUAAUUAUAUACCUCGCGUUCAUCUUAUAACUACGAGGCCACCAUUUCUGGAGACAGAAAGAGGCAAAUCAUGCAAACACUUGCAUGAUAAUUAUAUGCGUCGUGUUCAUCUUAUAACUACGAGGAUUAAUGAAAGUAAUCAGUACAACCUUUUGUUGGCCAAAUGUGUAUCAGGUUUACAAGUUCCAAAAAAGAUCCAGCUGUGCAAUCACAUGCUGAUUUAAUUAGGCCAUUGCUCAUCUUGUCUCCUCCCAUGGUUGUUUUCCUAUAAAUACCAACUCUCAAAAUUAAAUUCCAUCAAAACUUUGUGAAAUCCCCUAAUCUGAAAGAAAACCGUAAGAAAUGGCUUCACUUUCUUCAAAAUCCAAUCACGUUCGAUCAAUCAGUUUGCUCGGGAGAUCACACCCUACCAUCCAGAGAGUUGAAGAGGAGCUAAACAAGCUCAGAUCAUUGGUAGUAUCUGUUGCACCAACAACAGUGAGCAAUGGUCUAAAAGGUUUGGAGAAAUUGUACAAGUGCAUAGAUGAUCUUCUCAACUUGCCUCAAACCCUUCAUGCCCUCUCCCAAAGUCCACAUGCAAAAUGGGUUGAAGAUCUAUUGGAUAAAUCAAUGAGGCUUCUUGAUCUGUGUGGCACUGCAAGGGAACUUGUAUCACAAUGCAAAGAAAAUGUAAGAGAUCUCCAAUCCAACCUCAGGAGGAGAAAAGGAGAUUCAAACACAGAUGACAACGUUACCAGAUUUACCUCUUUCAGCAAGAAGAUCAAGAGGGAUGCCAAAAGAUUAGUGUUGGCCUUGAAACAAAUGGAUCAAGACACUACAGUAUCUGUUUUGCUAGAUGCAGAUCAAGAUACAGUAGCUGUGAUUAGAGCACUAAAAGAAGCUAAUGCAGAAUGCAUUUCAACUUUCCAAAUGCUCUUGUCCUUCUUGUGUGUACCACUUUUGAAGCCUAAGCCAUCUAAAUGGUCACUGCUUUCAAGAUUGGUAAACAAAGAAAGAAUAGCAUCACUAGUCUUAGAAGAAAACAUGAGCUUAGAAACCAGGCUCGAAAGCUUUGAGACUUAUCUUAUCAACUUCGAAGAUGGCUUGGAAGCAACAUUUAGAUGCCUGAUUAGAUCUAGAAGCUUGCUACUCAAUGUUUUCUCCUGCUAAUCUGGCAGUUGUUAUUCCAUAUACUGUCAAUUGUAUAUACACAGUUUUGUAGUUAUGUUGGAAAUAUACAAUCUUCAAGCGAUUGAUUAUACAUCAAUGUCUUUUUCUCUAUAUAUAUUAUUAGUAUUAUAUAUGGAACGUAUAUGAAUACUGCCAUAAACUGUGCAGUAGGACUUUAAUUCAAAUACCUGAAUGGAGUCCAAAUUUAACAGGUAAUGCCUAUGACUUUCAGCAUCUAGAAAGAAUUUGCAGCAUUGUCUAAAUCUGAUGUCAGGUUAAGUUUUACCCGGAAAAUAGCUCAAAAUAUCAUUGAAAUGAAUCUCCUUAAACUAGAGGAGAACCAGAUAAAACUAAUAGCAGAUCCUUUUACAUACUUCCCUUGUAUAAUUAGUGAAAUGAUCAAACGAACAAGUGAAUGAGAAAAUUCUAUGACUCCUUAAUCAAUAUUUAAGGGUAAGAAGCCACUUACCUACAUCCGGAAAAAGGUAUUUCUUCCUUAUUCUUCUUAUCCAUCAUUCUUACACAACGAUAAUUUAUUAGAUAAUAUUGAGAAUGAUAUCUGUUUCUAUUUGGUUCAUAGUCAACUUAGCUGUUGAGACCACCACAGCUUUUCUGCAUUUGUUCUUAAAAUUAUUGGAAGUAUUAGACCUAAAUCCUAAUCAAGAAGGUUUCUAUAUCCUUUAUCUUCUUCCUGCCUUCCCAAGGGAAUUCAACAAACAAAAAAUGGGGAGUGAAAUGCAGGUUGUUGGAGCCACCAUCACAAGGAUUUAGCAUUAGAUAGGCAGCAAAAGUGGCAGAGUGCUCUCUCGAACAUAUUAGCACUACAGUCAUUAAUACCACUUUAAAAGUGCAACCCAGUAUAAUCCCACUUAGUAGGGUCUGGGGAGGGUAGUAUGUACGCAGACCUUACCCCUACCCUGNNNNNNNNNNNNNNNNNNNNNNNNNNNNNNNNNNNNNNNNNNNNNNNNNNNNNNNNNNNNNNNNNNNNNNNNNNNNNNNNNNNNNNNNNNNNNNNNNNNNNNNNNNNNNNNNNNNNNNNNNNNNNNNNNNNNNNNNNNNNNNNNNNNNNNNNNNNNNNNNNNNNNNNNNNNNNNNNNNNNNNNNUUCUUGGGGAGACUCGAACUCACAACCUCUCGGUUGGAAGUGGGGGUUGCUUACCAUCAGAGUAAUACCACUUUAUUCAACACAAUAUCAGUUUGAUAUGAAUGACUUAAGAGUUUGGUGGCGUUAUUCAGCAAGUUUAAUGUGUUUGCUCCCAAUAAAUUUACUAGCUGGUCUGAAAAGCAAUACCUUGAGUCCGUGCCAUGCUUCCAAAAUAGAGCUGAUGCAGAACUUGACAAAGCUAAAAUGUUUGAAAUACUAUUAGCCCUACCAGAAUACAUGAUACAAGAACAAUGCUGCAGUAAUAAUCUCUAUUUCUUAUCUGAAUAUGUUUGCCUAUGUAAUUGAUGGAUUGGAGUUGUCAAUAUGCGCUGGGUUUAGGACCAGUAGGUUGUUUCUUGCACUCAAGGGGACAAUGUCAAAACCAAGAAAAACAGCAUAACCAUAGUGGAGCAAUAGGUAGUGGGUAAUAUGCAGUAAGCGUCCAAAUAUGCAAUUAAGAACAGGUUAGGAGAGGGACGACGAGAUAGACCAAGAGACAAGGUGCCACUUUAGUAGCAAAUAAUAGCCUGAUUGCAUGAGGACAUAGUGGUGCACAGAUACGCUCGAGUCUCAGAACAAACGCAAUGCCAGGAUGAGCAACUGGAGAUAACAUUCUACCUAUGAUACUAGAUAUAUCAUAUAUGACGGGUUCAUAAACAGAAAGGAAGGGUAGGCACUGUCUUACAGGUCUGUCAUUUAUCCAACUAAGGUAGUGUGCAUCCAAAUAACGGGGUACAAAAAUAGCUUUCGCAUACCAACAUGAGGGCAAAAUAUAUAAUUCUCAUAUCUUCUAAAGUGUCUCUUAGUUCUGAUGAUGAGUAAGCAUUUUGUACCAUUGAUUUUGCUUAAGAAAGGUGCUAGUCAACUUCUCCUAUUUACUGAAAUAAGAUUUCAUGAACCUACACCUUGAUGAUAAAAUCCAUCCCAGUGAAAGAAAAGAACAUCUUUAUAAAAGAAACCAUCAAACUGAAAUCUGGUAAGAUAAGAUAUUACAAGUACUGAAACAAAGAAGGUAAAUCAACAAGAAAUUAUGUCUGAACAGCAAACAAAAUCGAAUCGAACUAUUUUUUCUUUACAAGGCAAACAAAAUCAAAUGAAUAGAAGUAAUACAGAAAUUAUAGCGACAACAUGUUUAACGAAAUAAAUACUACAGCAACUAACCUAUUAGGGGGAAGCUACACCCAGUGUUUGGCUUCUUUCAUAUACUUCUGUUUGUGUACAUUUUAUAGAAGAGGGGUAAGCUUCCAGCUACAACGGAAUAUAUGUUCAAUCAAACAUCAAAGACGCUCACCCAUGAAAAUUUCACAAGAGCAAUAACAAAUUCCUUGAAGUCAGAAACUCAACCACCUGAUUCGAUCAAUUAGUUUGACGGGAAAGAGAUAACUCAAAAACAGUGAUCUUGAAAAGAAAUUGUUAACAUCGCCCAUAUAUACCCAAAAUUUCUACCCUAUGCUCUACCCCAAAAAACGGUCUUUUUAUCAACUUAUUCCAUGCACUAUGAAGCUCAGCCCGAAAGUACAUUUAAGUAUCACUAAGAAAACAAAGAAAUUAAAAGAAGAAGCUAAACAUACGUGAAGCUCUAAGCACCAAAAAUAGCAAAGAUAGUCAAUGGAUGAGAGAGUGGUACAUGAAUUUAAGGUCCGAAGGUAGCCCUGAGUCAAUUAGGCGAUAGAUCUGCUCUCAAAGACGAGCGAUGUACAUACAUUAGUGCGGUAUUUUGUCCAGGGCCCCGGGCCUAAAGGGGGCCUCGUGGACCUUGUUUUGAAC
RNAcentral lists this long non-coding RNA (7073 nucleotides) under Nicotiana benthamiana. RNAcentral's name for it is "long non-coding RNA (NBEN_LNC042434)". Lineage: Eukaryota; Viridiplantae; Streptophyta; Magnoliopsida; Solanales; Solanaceae. The record is from RNAcentral.